Molecule: ribosomal RNA, 367 nt
Filed under: uncultured organism
Description: bacterial LSU rRNA
Rfam family: Bacterial large subunit ribosomal RNA
Source: RNAcentral
CUUUACUGUAGCUUUGCAUUGGACUUUGAACCAAUCUGUGUAGGAUAGGUGGGAGGCUUUGAAGCGGGGACGCCAGUUCUCGUGGAGCCAUCCUUGAAAUACCACCCUGGUUUGUUUGAGGUUCUAACCUUGUCCCGUAAUCCGGGUCGGGGACAGUGCAUGGUAGGCAGUUUGACUGGGGCGGUCUCCUCCCAAAGUGUAACGGAGGAGUUCGAAGGUACGCUAGGUACGGUCGGACAUCGUGCUAAUAGUGCAAUGGCAUAAGCGUGCUUAACUGCGAGACUGACAAGUCGAGCAGGUACGAAAGUAGGACAUAGUGAUCCGGUGGUUCUGUAUGGAAGGGCCAUCGCUCAACGGAUAAAAGGUA